This 384-nucleotide ribosomal RNA is filed under the name uncultured bacterium. RNAcentral's name for it is "bacterial SSU rRNA". It matches the Rfam family "Bacterial small subunit ribosomal RNA", at positions 954 to 1337 of the family's 1533-position model. The record is from RNAcentral.
GCAAAACGCGAAGAACCUUACCUACUCUUGACAUCCAGAGAACUUUCCAGAGAUGGAUUGGUGCCUUCGGGAACGUCAGAGACAGGUGCUGCAUGGCUGUCGUCAGCUCGUGUUGUGAAAUGUUGGUUAAGUCCGCAACGAGCGCAACCCGUUAUCCUUUGUUGCCAGCGGUUAGGCCGGGAACUCAAAGGAGACGUGCCAGUGAUAAACUGGAGAAGGUGGGGAUGACGUCAAGUCAUCCAUGGCCCUUACGAGUAGGGCUACACACGUGCUACAAUGGCGCAUACAAAGAGAAGCGACCUCGCGAGAGCAAGCGGACCUCAUAAAGUGCGUCGUAGUCCGGAUUGGAGUCUGCAACUCGACUCCAUGAAGUCGGAAUCGCUA